UGAAUUGUAACAAAACUGUUUGAUGUAGAUUCACUGGAUUGUUUAAGCAAAAAAAAUAUGAAAUUAUGAAAAAUAUUAAUAGCAUUCCACCCAUGAGGCCACUAAUUAAUUUGACUGCAGGAAAGGGCUGCUAAAUCAAUUGAAUGAGCAACAUUUAUGCAAAGUCCUCCAACGGUACCCCUGAAGAGACAUGGAAUAAAAAGACAGACACAUGGGUGUAGCCCUAUGAUACGAAACACAACCCAACAUCAGUAGCAACAGAAAAGUUGGCUACGUCAGGUAUGCUGAUGUAGUAGGGCAGGAAGUGAAAACCACUAAGAUACGCAGGAGAGAGAGAGAAGGAGAGAGUGAGAGAAAGAGAGCGAUCGACAGUACAUAUCAUCAGUGUCACUUCAUGUGCGUAUACACAGAGGGUUUGUUCUAACUGAGUGACACGGACGUUACCUGUUUUGAGAGCUCAUAAGACAUUGCUUCUUUGCUCUGAUGUACCGUCCGCGUUCUGACCACAUCCCGCUGGUCCUAUGCCUCCUGUUUCUGCUCUGUGUCCAUGGCAACGCUCAAGACCAAGGCCCUACAUGUGAGGUGCGAGUGAAAAGAAACACCAUUUGGAAUGCUGUCCCUCAGAAAGCCCUAACAAUCAACUGCCCUGUGAGACACUGUGGAGAAAAGCUGCACGCCACCUGGUGUAAAUUUGUGGAUCUAUUAAACUGCGAACAGAUACAUGAGACAGAGCAAGUCACAUUUGGAUGGAGGCAAAAAGAUAUUUUGAUUUUGGAUUUUAAAAAGAUAUCUAUCAAUGACGAUGGUUUGUACAGAUGUGGAGUUGCUGAAAAUGGGUCAACAACUGUUAGCCAUGCUAUCAAAGUCUCUGUCUCAGGUAACCAACCAAAGCUAAUUUAAUCUUUCAAUCUAAUGUUUUAGAAUGGAUCGAUAGAUACUAAGUUGUUCUGGAAGCCGUUGUUGUCUGACAAACGUCCGGGGGCGGCCUAGGAAAUUAAGCCCUGGCAUUUUAGCCACACAUUGCCGCUCGUGCACCAUCAUGCGCUAUUACAUUUAGAGCCAAUCUAUUAAGGAACUGGCAAUACAUCUGUGUUGCCCUGUUGUCUUCCUAACUCCACUGCACUCACCUCUGAACUGCCUCUGCUAAGCCUAGCCUCCCCCCAUAGUUACCUUACAUAUAUAAUAUAGAGCCAAAAUGGUAAAACUGACAGUACAUCUGUGUCAGUGUGUGUCUCUCUCUAUUCCUACCUCCACUGCACUUGACUGCUGAGCUGUCUGGAACAGUAGCUGUCUGUGCUGCUAAGCCUAGCAUAACUGGGACCAGAAGACCAGGGGACCACACUGCCUGUGCUGGGCCCAGCAGUCCCCUAGGAUAGCAACCUGGAGAUUACAAGCACAGCAGACCACAACACAAAUGACUCAACGGAUGCAAAGCGUGAUAGGAAUGAUCCAAGCUUCAUGCCUUAUGUUUACAUCUGUGUGGGAAUAGCAGUCCUGGUGGUCAUUGUGACAGCAUUUUCUUUCUUCUGUCUACAUGCAUAUAAAGGACCAAGCAGGUCAACCGGAAAUAGAACAAAGAAGCAGGAGAUGUCCACACUGACAGCACCAUGUCCAGACCUCUCCUUCAACCCCGAGGAAACCUUUCCAUCAUCACCAUCCACCCCAAACCCCGUACAGCCUGCCAAUCUCUAUGACAACGGUCUCUACUGUAACCGCAUCAAUGGGAAAAAUGGAGCUCUACCAUUCUCCAACAACAGAGCAGGAGGUCAAGUGUCAAGCCACCUUGUGUAUGCUUCCCUGAACCACGAGACCACCAGGGGGUCCCUGAGAUCACCCCAUAUUCCGAACCCGCAGGAUACAUUCUCUGAGUACGCAGCCAUCCGGGUCUACUGAGCUCUGAGAGAGACCUCAGCCAGACCCUAACAGUACAGUGCUGUAAGUUAUGUUCUUUGAUGGUUGUUUUCACACAGAGGAAGAGGAAAGCUGAACAUUUUUGUUUAUGAAAAUUUGACUCAUCUGUUUUCAUAUUAUAUUUUUUGGGGGCACUUUAUAUAAUUGUCACGCACUCAAUGACACACACUUCCUGGUGCAAUUGCAACGGUGAGCAAUGUGUUAACCGCAGUGCAGCAGUGUUUCAGAGAAGAAGAUGUAAAGGUGGAGGGUGACUGAGAGGUGUUAGAACUAGAGAGCAUGUGCUUCUGAGUGAACAUCCUUCACAUCACACCUCAGAGUUAGAGGAGCAAAGGUGUCGGUAACUCUCACUUCAAGAUAUUUCACACAUAAUGAUGGGAAAACCAUAAUUUGUUAAUUACUAUCAAGAAAUACAUUAUAUAUUCAAAAGUAUGUGGACACCCAUUCAAAUGAGUGGAUUUGGCUAUUUCAGCCACAAUCAUUGCUAACAGGUGUAUACAAUUGAGCACACAGCCAUUCAAUCUCCAUAAAC
Non-coding RNA from Oncorhynchus mykiss (rainbow trout), 2443 nucleotides. Lineage: Eukaryota; Metazoa; Chordata; Actinopteri; Salmoniformes; Salmonidae. The record is from RefSeq and is a predicted model, not a curated record.